This is a long non-coding RNA of Homo sapiens (human), 595 nucleotides long. NCBI's taxonomy places the organism in Eukaryota, Metazoa, Chordata, Mammalia, Primates, Hominidae. The record is from Ensembl.
GAUGCCUUUCAGCUCGUGUGCAAACCACAAGCUUCUCCUGACAGGUGGAAUUUCCUCAGGACUGUCCGUCUCAGGUGCGUCCAUGUCUGUCUGCACCUGGAUGGCAUCGCCUCUCCAUCUCGAGGACGCCAUCUGGAGGGGGCAGGGCAGGGUGGCUGAUCCCCUGCAGGCCCCAGCCCUGUGACUCAGCCACCAAAGCCCAAUCUCCAGCCCAAGGGAACCAAGGGUAUCUUCUUCAUCAUCCUUCCAGUCCUCUUCCCCUUCGCCGGGCUCCAGCCUCAGCUUGGCCCUCACCUCCACUCCUCUCCCCUCUCACCCCUGCCCCCAUUCCACUUCAUCUCCCUCCCUCACCUUAGGGCACCUCUGCCUGCUCCUUAUGCUGGAGUUGAUUUUCUACAAUCUCAACUCAGCCAAGAGAUCUCAUCACCUAAAAAAGUGAUGUGAACCUUAAGAUCACAUAUGUCAUAUGGGGGUGAAGGUGGGGGUGGGAGGCACUAAGGGCAGGGCAGCAGGUGGGUCAGCCCCAGGUGCUGGCAAUAGAUGGGGGUCCAGGUCAGCAGAGAACCUAAAAACAAUAAAGCAACUGAUUAGCCCG